Molecule: ribosomal RNA, 497 nt
Filed under: uncultured bacterium
Lineage: Bacteria
Description: partial 16S ribosomal RNA
Rfam family: Bacterial small subunit ribosomal RNA
Source: RNAcentral
GACGAACGCUGGCGGCGUGCCUAAUACAUGCAAGUUGAGCGCUGAAGGUUGGUACUUGUACCGACUGGAUGAGCAGCGAACGGGUGAGUAACGCGUGGGGAAUCUGCCUUUGAGCGGGGGACAACAUUUGGAAACGAAUGCUAAUACCGCAUAAAAACUUUAAACACAAGUUUUAAGUUUGAAAGAUGCAAUUGCAUCACUCAAAGAUGAUCCCGCGUUGUAUUAGCUAGUUGGUGAGGUAAAGGCUCACCAAGGCGAUGAUACAUAGCCGACCUGAGAGGGUGAUCGGCCACAUUGGGACUGAGACACGGCCCAAACUCCUACGGGAGGCAGCAGUAUGGAAUCUUCGGCAAUGGACGAAAGUCUGACCGAGCAACGCCGCGUGAGUGAAGAAGGUUUUCGGAUCGUAAAACUCUGUUGGUAGAGAAGAACGUUGGUGAGAGUGGAAAGCUCAUCAAGUGACGGUAACUACCCAGAAAGGGACGGCUAACUACGUG